Molecule: transfer RNA, 83 nt
Filed under: Danio rerio (zebrafish)
Lineage: Eukaryota; Metazoa; Chordata; Actinopteri; Cypriniformes; Danionidae
Description: tRNA-Leu (CAG) (tRNA-Leu-CAG-112-1)
Rfam family: tRNA
About the family: Transfer RNA (tRNA) molecules are approximately 80 nucleotides in length. Their secondary structure includes four short double-helical elements and three loops (D, anti-codon, and T loops).
Source: Rfam by way of RNAcentral
GUCAGGAUGGCCGAGCGGUUCAAGGCAUUGCGUUCAGGUCGCAGUCUCCUCUGGAGGCGUGGGUUCGAAUCCCACUUCUAACA